UACGGGAGGCAGCAGUGGGAAUAUUGCACAAUGGGCGCAAGCCUGAUGCAGCCAUGCCGCGUGUAUGAAGAAGGCCUUCGGGUUGUAAAGUACUUUCAGUCGUGAGGAAGGUGUUAAGGUUAAUAACCUUAGCAAUUGACGUUAGCGACAGAAGAAGCACCGGCUAACUCCGUGCCAGCAGCCGCGGUAAUACGGAGGGUGCGAGCGUUAAUCGGAAUUACUGGGCGUAAAGGGCACGCAGGCGGUUAAUUAAGUUGGAUGUGAAAUCCCCGGGCUUAACCUGGGAAUGGCAUUCAAGACUGGUUAGCUAGAGUCUUGUAGAGGGGGUAGAAUUCCAUGUGUAGCGGUGAAAUGCGUAGAGAUGUGGAGGAAUACCGGGUGGCGAAGGCGGCCCCUGGGACAAAGACUGACGCUCAUGUGCGAAAGCGUGGGGAGCAAACAGGAUUAGAUACC
RNAcentral lists this ribosomal RNA (453 nucleotides) under uncultured bacterium. RNAcentral's name for it is "bacterial SSU rRNA". It matches the Rfam family "Bacterial small subunit ribosomal RNA", at positions 340 to 786 of the family's 1533-position model. The record is from RNAcentral.